This 500-nucleotide ribosomal RNA is filed under the name uncultured bacterium. Its description in RNAcentral is "partial 16S ribosomal RNA". It matches the Rfam family "Bacterial small subunit ribosomal RNA", at positions 30 to 523 of the family's 1533-position model. The record is from RNAcentral.
AUUGAACGCUGGCGGCAUGCUUUACACAUGCAAGUCGAACGGUAACAGGGAGCUUGCUCCGCUGACGAGUGGCGAACGGGUGAGUAAUGCGUCGGAACGUGCCGAGUAGUGGGGGAUAACGCAGCGAAAGUUGUGCUAAUACCGCAUACGCCCUGAGGGGGAAAGUGGGGGAUCGCAAGACCUCAUGUUAUUGGAGCGGCCGAUGGCUGAUUAGCUAGUUGGUGAGGUAAAGGCUCACCAAGGCGACGAUCAGUAGCUGGUCUGAGAGGACGACCAGCCACACUGGGACUGAGACACGGCCCAGACUCCCACGGGAGGCAGCAGUGGGGAAUUUUGGACAAUGGGCGAAAGCCUGAUCCAGCCAUGCCGCGUGUCUGAAGUAGGCCUUCGGGUUGUAAAGGACUUUUGUCAGGGAGGAAAUCCCUAGUGCUAAUAACACUGGGGGAUGACAGUACCUGAAGAAUAAGCACCGGCUAACUACGUGCCAGCAGCCGCAGUAA